UACGUAGGGUGCGAGCGUUAAUCGGAAUUACUGGGCGUAAAGCGUGCGUAGGCGGUUUGCCGUGUCCUGUGUGAAAGCCCCGGGCUCAACCUGGGAAUUGUAUGGGAAACUGGCAGGCUUGAGUGUGGCAGAGGAGGGUGGAAUUCCGCGUGUAGCAGUGAAAUGCGUAGAGAUGCGGAGGAACACCGAUGGCGAAGGCAGCCCUCUGGGCCAACACUGACGCUCAGGCACGAAAGCGUGGGGAGCAAACAGG
RNAcentral lists this ribosomal RNA (253 nucleotides) under uncultured bacterium. RNAcentral's name for it is "partial 16S ribosomal RNA". It matches the Rfam family "Bacterial small subunit ribosomal RNA", at positions 524 to 776 of the family's 1533-position model. The record is from RNAcentral.